GAGAUAUUAAGUAAAUAUAGAAGAUUAUGCCUUACAAGCAGAGGGUCGCUGGUUCGAAUCCAGCAGUUCCCACAA
Molecule: transfer RNA, 75 nt
Filed under: Bacteroidota bacterium
Lineage: Bacteria; Pseudomonadati; Bacteroidota
Description: Bacteroidetes bacterium tRNA-Val
Source: RNAcentral